CCUACGGGAGGCAGCAGUGGGGCAUAUUGGGCAAUGGGCGCAAGCCUGACCCAGCAACGCCGCGUGAAGGAAGAAGGCUUUCGGGUUGUAAACUUCUUUUGACAGGGAAGAGCAGAAGACGGUACCUGUCGAAUAAGCCACGGCUAACUACGUGCCAGCAGCCGCGGUAAUACGUAGGUGGCAGGCGUUGUCCGGAUUUACUGGGUGUAAAGGGCGUGUAGCCGGGCUGACAAGUCAGAUGUGAAAUACGGGGGCUCAACCCCCGAACUGCAUUUGAAACUGUUGGUCUUGAGUAUCGGAGAGGCAGGCGGAAUUCCUAGUGUAGCGGUGAAAUGCGUAGAUAUUAGGAGGAACACCAGUGGCGAAGGCGGCCUGCUGGACGACAACUGACGGUGAGGCGCGAAAGCGUGGGGAGCAAACAGGAUUAGAUACCCCUGUAGUC
This 442-nucleotide ribosomal RNA is filed under the name uncultured bacterium. RNAcentral describes it as "partial 16S ribosomal RNA". It matches the Rfam family "Bacterial small subunit ribosomal RNA", at positions 338 to 795 of the family's 1533-position model. The record is from RNAcentral.